UCCAGCAGCCGCGGUAAUACGUUCCCGGGCCUUGUACACACCGCCCGUCACGUCACGAAAGUCGGUAACACCCGAAGCCAGUGGCCCAACCCUUUGGGAGGGAGCUGUCGAAGGUGGGAUCGGCGAUUGGGACGAAGUCGUAACAAGGUAGCCGUACCGGAAGGUGCGGCUGGAUCACCUCCUUUCUAAGGAGCAUCUCCGCGGCCCUUUCUAGGGUCGCCAGGAGGCCAAGAAAUCACGGCCUGGUCGCUCCGGAGUCGAUCACUGGCUAUUCGGUCGGACCGCUCCCGGCUCGCUCAGUACCGCCCCGCAAGGGGUGCGGAACGGCGGGAUCGGAACGGCCAGGCCGCACACACUGUUGAGCUUUGAGGGAGCGUCUCGGAGCUUGAGGCGCGAGCACCUCGCCACGAGGCUCUGCCCAGACCCCGAACCGGCCGGCACGUCCGUCCAGGGGGGUACGGGACUCGAGCCGGGAACCUUGAGAACUACAUAGCGAGCGCGAGCAUCUUUGAAGUUGCCUUUUAAGGAAGGGCACACGGUGGAUACCUAGGCACACACCUAUAAGAG
This 567-nucleotide unclassified non-coding RNA is filed under the name uncultured organism. RNAcentral's name for it is "partial contains 16S-23S ribosomal RNA intergenic spacer and 23S ribosomal RNA". The stretch from base 1 to 185 matches the Rfam family "Bacterial small subunit ribosomal RNA", at positions 1348 to 1533 of the family's 1533-position model. The record is from RNAcentral.